RNAcentral lists this ribosomal RNA (195 nucleotides) under Phymatostetha borneensis. Its description in RNAcentral is "partial small subunit ribosomal RNA". It matches the Rfam family "Eukaryotic small subunit ribosomal RNA", at positions 1257 to 1454 of the family's 1831-position model. The record is from RNAcentral. Lineage: Eukaryota; Metazoa; Arthropoda; Insecta; Hemiptera; Cercopidae.
CUUUCUUGAUUCGGUGGGUGGUGGUGCAUGGCCGUUCUUAGUUGGUGGAGCGAUUUGUCUGGUUAAUUCCGAUAAACGAACGAGACUCUAGCCUGCUAACUAGGCGAUUUCCGGUACCCACAAUAGUGUUACCGGCGAUUCAAUUUCUUCUUAGAGGGACAGGCGGCUCCUAGGGCCGCCGAUGUUGCCGGAAAG